AACUGCUUUUAUGUGGGAAUAAAGUGGCGCACGUGUGCGCCAUUGCAUGUACCUCAUGAAUAAGGACCGGCUAAUUCCGUGCCAGCAGCCGCGGUAAUACGGAAGGUCCGGGCGUUAUCCGGAUUUAUUGGGUUUAAAGGGAGUGUAGGCGGUCUGUUAAGCGUGUUGUGAAAUUUAGGUGCUCAACAUUUAACUUGCAGCGCGACCUGUCAGACUUGAGUACACGCAGCGCAGGCGGAAUUCAUGGUGUAGCGGUGAAAUGCUUAGAUAUCAUGAGGAACUCCGAUCGCGAAGGCAGCCUGCGGGAGUGUUACUGACGCUUAAGCUCGAAGGUGCGGGUAUCGAACAGGAUUAGAUACCCUGGUAGUCC
RNAcentral lists this ribosomal RNA (370 nucleotides) under uncultured Prevotella sp. RNAcentral describes it as "bacterial SSU rRNA". It matches the Rfam family "Bacterial small subunit ribosomal RNA", at positions 428 to 796 of the family's 1533-position model. The record is from RNAcentral. Lineage: Bacteria; Pseudomonadati; Bacteroidota; Bacteroidia; Bacteroidales; Prevotellaceae.